RNAcentral lists this ribosomal RNA (1243 nucleotides) under metagenome. RNAcentral's name for it is "bacterial LSU rRNA". It matches the Rfam family "Bacterial large subunit ribosomal RNA", at positions 1564 to 2815 of the family's 2925-position model. The record is from RNAcentral.
UGAAUACGGGACGCUAAGGCGUCGAAGUAGUGUAUGUCAUACUUCCAAGAAAAGCUUGCACUGUCAUAAGUAUAAAAUGCCUGUACCAUAACCGACACAGGUGGGUAGGUAGAGUAUACUAAGGGGCGCGAGAUAACUCUCUCUAAGGAACUCGGCAAAAUAACUCCGUAACUUCGGGAGAAGGAGUACCUUAUUCUAUAAGGUUGCAAUAACAAGAUCCAAGCAACUGUUUAUCAAAAACACAGGUCUCCGCUAAGUCGUAAGACGAUGUAUGGGGGCUGACGCCUGCCCAGUGCCAGAAGGUUAAAGAAGUCGGUUAGCAUUAGCGAAGCUGGUAACUGAAGCCCUGGUGAACGGCGGCCGUAACAAUAACGGUCCUAAGGUAGCGAAAUUCCUUGUCGGGUAAGUUCCGACCCGCACGAAAGGCGUAAUGAUUUGGAUACUGUCUCGGAGAGGGGCUCGGUGAAAUAGACUUGUCUGUGAAGAUGCGGACUACCUGCACCAGGACAGAAAGACCCUAUGAAGCUUUACUGUAACUUGAAAUUGAAAUUGGACUUUAUUCGCGCAGUAUAGGUGGGAGGUGUUGAUUAUAAUCUUGCGGGAUUAUUGGAGCCAUCAGUGAGAUACCACUCUUGUAAUGUUAGAUUUCUAACUUUGAAUCAUUAUCUGGUCAAAGGACAGUUUCAGGCGGGCAGUUUGACUGGGGCGGUCGCCUCCCAAACGGUAACGGAGGCGUACAAAGGUUUCCUCUGAACGGGUAGAAAUCGUAUCUAGAGUGUAAAGGCAUAAGGAAGCUUGACUGUGAGACCUACAAGUCGAACAGGGACGAAAGUCGGUCUUAGUGAUCUGACGGUACUGAGUGGAAAGGCCGUCACUCAACGGAUAAAAGUUACUCUAAGGAUAACAGGCUGAUCUCCCCCAAGAGUUCACAUCGACGGGGAGGUUUGGCACCUCGAUGUCGGCUCAUCGCAUCCUGGGGCGGUAGUACGUCCCAAGGGUUGGGCUGUUCGCCCAUGAAAGCGGUACGCGAGCUGGGUUCAGAACGUCGUGAGACAGUUCGGUCCAUAUCCGGUGUAGGCGUUAGAAUAUUGAGAGGAGCCUUCUUUAGUACGAGAGGACCGAGAAGGACAUACCUCUGGUGUACCAGUUAUCGUGCCAACGGUAAACGCUGGGUAGCUAUGUAUGGAGUGGAUAACCGCUGAAAGCAUCUAAGUGGGAAGCCCACCUCAAGAUAAGUAUUCUC